Molecule: ribosomal RNA, 429 nt
Filed under: uncultured Nitrosomonas sp.
Lineage: Bacteria; Pseudomonadati; Pseudomonadota; Betaproteobacteria; Nitrosomonadales; Nitrosomonadaceae
Description: bacterial SSU rRNA
Rfam family: Bacterial small subunit ribosomal RNA
Source: RNAcentral
UGGGGAAUUUUGGACAAUGGGCGCAAGCCUGAUCCAGCAAUGCCGCGUGAGUGAAGAAGGCCUUCGGGUUGUAAAGCUCUUUCAGUCGAGAAGAAAAGGUUGUGACUAAUAAUCAUAACUCAUGACGGUAUCGACAGAAGAAGCACCGGCUAACUACGUGCCAGCAGCCGCGGUAAUACGUAGGGUGCGAGCGUUAAUCGGAAUUACUGGGCGUAAAGGGUGCGCAGGCGGUUCUGUAAGUCAGAUGUGAAAUCCCCGGGCUUAACCUGGGAACUGCGUUUGAAACUACAGAACUAGAGUGUGGCAGAGGGGGGUGGAAUUCCAUGUGUAGCAGUGAAAUGCGUAGAGAUAUGGAAGAACAUCGAUGGCGAAGGCAGCCCCCUGGGUUAACACUGACGCUCAUGCACGAAAGCGUGGGGAGCAAACAGG